GAGUUUGAUCCUGGCUCAGAUUGAACGCUGGCGGCAGGCUUAACACAUGCAAGUCGAGCGGUAACAGAAAGUAGCUUGCUACUUUGCUGACGAGCGGCGGACGGGUGAGUAAUGCCUAGGAAUCUGCCUAGUAGUGGGGGAUAACUUGCCGAAAGGUAAGCUAAUACCGCAUACGUCCUACGGGAGAAAGCAGGGGACCUUCGGGCCUUGCGCUAUUAGAUGAGCCUAGGUCGGAUUAGUUAGUUGGUGAGGUAAUGGCUCACCAAGACCGCGAUCCGUAACUGGUCUGAGAGGAUGAUCAGUCACACUGGAACUGAGACACGGUCCAGACUCCUACGGGAGGCAGCAGUGGGGAAUAUUGGACAAUGGGGGGAACCCUGAUCCAGCCAUGCCGCGUGUGUGAAGAAGGUCUUAGGAUUGUAAAGCACUUUAAGUUGGGAGGAAGGGCAGUUAACUAAUAUUUGACUGUUUUGACGUUACCGACAGAAUAAGCACCGGCUAACUUCGUGCCAGCAGCCGCGGUAAA
This 526-nucleotide ribosomal RNA is filed under the name uncultured Pseudomonas sp. Its description in RNAcentral is "bacterial SSU rRNA". It matches the Rfam family "Bacterial small subunit ribosomal RNA", at positions 9 to 524 of the family's 1533-position model. Lineage: Bacteria; Pseudomonadati; Pseudomonadota; Gammaproteobacteria; Pseudomonadales; Pseudomonadaceae. The record is from RNAcentral.